RNAcentral lists this ribosomal RNA (253 nucleotides) under uncultured bacterium. RNAcentral's name for it is "partial 16S ribosomal RNA". It matches the Rfam family "Bacterial small subunit ribosomal RNA", at positions 524 to 776 of the family's 1533-position model. The record is from RNAcentral.
UACGUAGGGUGCAAGCGUUGUCCGGAAUUAUUGGGCGUAAAGGGCGUGCAGGCGGUUUGUUAAGUGCAGGGUGAAAGCUCCCGGCUCAACUGGGAGAGGUCCUUGCAUACUGGCGAACUCGAGGGAGGCAGAGGAAAGUGGAAUUCCUGGUGUAGCGGUGGAAUGCGCAGAUAUCAGGAAGAACACCCGUGGCGAAGGCGGCUCUCUGGAACGCAACUGACGCUGAGACGCGAAAGCGUGGGGAGCAAACAGG